RNAcentral lists this ribosomal RNA (326 nucleotides) under uncultured eukaryote. Its description in RNAcentral is "partial 18S ribosomal RNA". It matches the Rfam family "Eukaryotic small subunit ribosomal RNA", at positions 1470 to 1796 of the family's 1831-position model. The record is from RNAcentral.
CCCUUAGAUGUUCUGGGCCGCACGCGCGCUACACUGAUGCAUUCAACAAGCCUAGCCUUGACCGAGAGGUCCGGGUAAUCUUUGAAACUGCAUCGUGAUGGGGCUAGAUUAUUGCAAUUAUUAAUCUUCAACGAGGAAUGCCUAGUAAGCGUGAUUCAUCAAAUCGCGUUGAUUACGUCCCUGCCCUUUGUACACACCGCCCGUCGCUCCUACCGAUUGAAUGUGUUGGUGAGGAGCUCGGAUUGGCAGCAUUUGGUGGUUCGCCACCGGCUAUUGCUGAGAAGUCCUCCAAACCGCCCCAUUUAGAGGAAGGAGAAGUCGUAACA